RNAcentral lists this long non-coding RNA (2195 nucleotides) under Manihot esculenta (cassava). RNAcentral describes it as "long non-coding RNA (MESC_LNC003563)". Lineage: Eukaryota; Viridiplantae; Streptophyta; Magnoliopsida; Malpighiales; Euphorbiaceae. The record is from RNAcentral.
CCUGCACCCGUGCAUAUAUGCAACUCAUUGUCAUUGCAUAUUUAGCAUUAAAAAAUAACUAAAAGAGAAAAGACGCGUUCGAAUUUGAUAAUGAGACUUAGUGCUUGAUAUAAUGAGAUGGAACAUUGCACAAAAGGGACAAAAAGGGUUAGAUGAAUGUUGUACCCAUUUCCUGCAACUUAUUUUAGAUCUUGCUAAAACUCCUGCCAAUGAAUGCACGCUGGCAAAUUACCAAUACACCGGAAAAUUACUCAUUGCGGAUGUAGUACAAAACUCCGGUUUAAGAAUAAUAAUGUCUAAAAAUUCAUUAUGAUAAUGGGAGGGCUGGUGUGUUGGCAGAGAAUGAUUCUUUAAGGCUAUCAAUGAAUUUUAGCUUCCAGAAUACAAUAAGCCUUCACAAAUAGUAUCCAUUAGAAUUACUUAAUUCUGAUGCAAUGUCAAAAUUUACAGCCUUUUUUUCUUUUUUCUUUUUUCUUUUUUUUUUUUUUUAACUUUCCUUACAAGAAGUCAGUAUCCUGCACGAGUUCCAGCUUGACUCUGAUCCAUAUGCAGAGAGAGAAGAAUAAAAUUAAAUUAUGAAAUUAUGCAGGACAAAAUGCCACUUUUGAAAUUUUCACGAGGGACCAAGUCCAAAACAAUAAACGUUUCUUUAACAUGUAAAGCCAUUAGAAUUUAAAUUUUUUUCUGUAUUUUAUAUGUUCAACAUCGUAGUAAAAUGUUAUUAAUAAUAAACUUCUUAAUUAAUUAUGUUAAAUGCAAUUUAAAUAUAUAUUAAAAUUCUGAAUUAUUAUAUGCCCAUCAAAAUCAAAAUUUCCAUUUUUUAAAUGAUUAUCAAUUAUCCUCUAAAUGUUCCUUCAUAAUAAUGUAAUAAAGUAGUAUCUACGUAGUAUAAUUGCAAUUAAAAAAAAUAAAGGGUAUGAUCAAAAAAAUGCGCCAAUGUUAGCAAAUAUAAUAAUAAGUAUGCUCAAAGAUAUUGUCUUACAUAUUAUGCUAAUAUUCAAGAAAUACUAGUAAAAUGACGUAAUUUGAUUUGAAGUGUUAGUAAAUAUUUUUGUAAUAACAACUAAAAGAAUUUGCAUUGAUAAAUUAUCUGCACUAUUCAAUUUUAAAAUUUGAAAUAUGUUCAUCAAUAGAUUAUUUCUGUUAAUUCUUUAAAUUGUAUUAAAUUCAGCUGUUUAAUAUGCCACGCAUAGUACAGGUAUUAGGGCAGGUGGCUUAUGUUUGUAAACCAUUUUUUAAGGUUCAACUUUAUAUAUAUAUAUAUACACGUAUAAAUACAUAUAGAAAUCUUAUGCGGAUUUAGAAAGGAAGAAUGUGGAAUUCACUGUUAGAGAUAAAAUAUUUUUCGAAGUUUCACUAUCGAAGAAAGUGUUUUGAGAUUUAAUAAGAAAGUUAAAGUUAACUCUAGAUUUAUUGGUUCAUAUAAGAUAAUUUAUAUAUAUAUAUAUAUGAGUUGCAAUUGCAGUAAUUUAACACCAUGGGUCUGAUAAGGAUUGUGUGAUUGGCUUGCAGUUUCUAUUUUAAAUAAGAUAAGGGUUGUUGUAGAUUACUUUGAAUCAUCCUUGUCAUAUAAGUUCCCUCCUAUCUUGAUUGUAACUCUACGUAUGUACUAACUGCUCUACACAAAAUGAAAAGCAUGUAAUCAUUCUACUGCCAUAGAGUCAAGACAAAAACACUGCAUCAAAACACCACUUCAAAGUUCAAACAUCAGAGCAGGAGCGAGUUUUUCUAUCGCCUAAAUUAAUUUCUGGCGUUCAAAUUUCAUGCACUAGAUAUGCCAAUUUUCCAUACAUGAAAUUAUAGCUUAAUUUGUACAUGCUUUUGGGGGAAAAUCAUUCAGUACACUCAUUUUGUGAAGGUGCUUCUUCAUUCAGUACACUCAUUUUGUGAAGGUGCUUCUUUACUUACAAAUAUAGACCUCACUAUUGAAAAAAUUAAUUUUCUUUAGUAAAGAAAUAUCGACGUGUGGUAGACUAGGUGUACUGAAUAUUAUAAUUUGAGGCUUUUGAGUUUAGAAUAUAAUAUUUUCAUUAUGAAAAUUCUUAUAUAAAUUCAAUUCACUGAACCCAAAAAAAAAUCAUAAACUCAAGAAACGUUGAAGUGAGUUAUCUAUUUUUUUCAUAAAGAGAUCUACUUUUUUAUAUCUUAGUCCAUGGUAUAAUGGGUGCACACAAGUAUUUCUUAUUGCUGUAAUA